CAGCUGACAGGCUGCAGCUGCAGAGGGGGAGCGGAGAGGUGCAUGCUCGGGGUUCGAUGCUGUCAGGAGCAUGGACACACCUGUCUCCACCGCAACUACUGCCUGGAGCCAGAAAAAUGUGGCCCGUGUGAACCCCCUGUCCAGAUUUGGAGACAAGGCUCCAUUUACAAUGUUGUUGUGUUAAGAUACUCCAGGAAGCGUCCAGCCGUGGCAAUUCCAGCAGCGACAGUGGAUCAAUUAACGAAAGCAUGAUUAACAUUACAGGAGAGCACAGAGAAAUAAUGGACGUCUCCGGAAAGUGGAUUAGGAUGAGUGGAACCUUGACGUGUGAGCCAGGAUACUGCACCAGUGAAGGACACUGUCGGAAUCAGCGUGACAUAAGCCAGACUGAAAUAGUUUGGGAAUGCAAUUGAUGAAUUGCUGUAUUGAUUUGGUUCUGUCUCACUUACCAUAAUUAUAGCACUGUAAUGGAUGGCA
Molecule: long non-coding RNA, 477 nt
Organism: Pygocentrus nattereri (red-bellied piranha)
Lineage: Eukaryota; Metazoa; Chordata; Actinopteri; Characiformes; Serrasalmidae
Exons: 2
Source: RefSeq, a predicted model, not a curated record